This is a transfer RNA of Trametes pubescens, 74 nucleotides long. It matches the Rfam family "tRNA". Rfam says of the family: Transfer RNA (tRNA) molecules are approximately 80 nucleotides in length. Their secondary structure includes four short double-helical elements and three loops (D, anti-codon, and T loops). NCBI's taxonomy places the organism in Eukaryota, Fungi, Basidiomycota, Agaricomycetes, Polyporales, Polyporaceae. The record is from Rfam.
AAGGGGUUAGCUUAGUUGGUUAAAGCAGUAAUCUUACACAUUAUUGACCGGGAGUUCGAAUCCCCCACCCCUUA